This 447-nucleotide ribosomal RNA is filed under the name uncultured bacterium. RNAcentral describes it as "partial 16S ribosomal RNA". It matches the Rfam family "Bacterial small subunit ribosomal RNA", at positions 29 to 523 of the family's 1533-position model. The record is from RNAcentral.
AGCGAACGCUGGCGGCAGGCUUAACACAUGCAAGUCGAACGCCCCGCAAGGGGAGUGGCAGACGGGUGAGUAACACGUGGGAACGUACCCUUUGGUUCGGAAUAACUUGGGGAAACUCAAGCUACUACCGGAUAAGCCCUUAUGGGGAAAGGUUUACUGCCGAAGGAUCGGCCCGCGUCUGUUUAUCUAGUUGGUGAGGUAAUGGCUCACCAAGGCGACGAUCAGUAGCUGGUCUGAGAGGAUGAUCAGCCACACUGGGACUGAGACACGGCCCAGACUCCUACGGGAGGCAGCAGUGGGGAAUAUUGGACAAUGGGGGCAACCCUGAUCCAGCCAUGCCGCGUGAGUGAUGAAGGCCUUAGGGUUGUAAAGCUCUUUUACCCGGGACGAUAAUGACUGUACCGGGAGAAUAAGCCCCGGCUAACUUCGUGCCAGCCGCCGCCGUAA